GGGUCCGGACACACUGAGGAUUGACAGGCAAAAGAUACAAGUUUUCUUUGUGAGAGCUUGCACUGUAAAAUAUGCGAGUCCUUUCAUGAUUAUGUGAUAGGUGGUGCAUGGCCGUUCUUAGUUCGUGGAGUGAUCUGUCUGCUUAAUUGCGUUUCACAACGAUUUAAAAUGCUAUGUUUUCUGUGUUUGCUGUUCGGUUUUAGCUCUUACGGGAGUUUUUAACUUUGAACGCACACGGCGUAGCUUAAAACAAUCGGAAAGCAACGAACGUGACCGCAACCUCUUGUUGCCUUUAUUUUUAAAAGCGUAGAGAAUUUCAUAUUUUCUUACGCUUGAAAAAGGCUUUAAAACUAGAGGGACCGCUGUUCUAUUCUCUUAAACCAGAGGAAGAUUGCGGCAAUAACAGGUCUGUGAUGCCCUCAGAUGUUCCGGGCUGCACACGUGCUACAAUGAUUGUUGCAGUGAGCAUCUAUUUUCAAACGCUACCGUUGCGGAUUUUGUGAGAAGGGGGCUUGUUUUAAAGCUUUCGGGUGGAGAAGCAGGUUCUUUUUUUCACAAUUUAUUCCGCGUUACGUGUCAGCUAAACCUGCUUCGAAAGCAAGUAGGU
This 607-nucleotide ribosomal RNA is filed under the name Micrometula hyalostriata. RNAcentral's name for it is "bacterial SSU rRNA". It matches the Rfam family "Eukaryotic small subunit ribosomal RNA", at positions 1220 to 1547 of the family's 1831-position model. The record is from RNAcentral. Lineage: Eukaryota; Foraminifera; Allogromiidae.